CAAUACCAGUUGAUCCUGCUGGAGGUCAUUGCUAUCGGGGUUCGGGUUAGGCACGCAAGCCGCAAGAGCAAGUUGUUGUUCUUGGCAUACGGCUUAGGAACGCGUAGUUAAUCUGCCCUAAGGAGUUGGAUAACCUCUGGGAAACUGAGGAUAAUACAACAUAUGAGAUUACCACUGGAAUGUGUUUUCUCUGAAAAGACUAAAAGCUUUGCCGAUUAGUUGCCUUAGGAUGAGACUGCGCCGGAUUAGGUUGAUGGCGGUGUAAUGGACCACCAUGCCUAAGAUCCGUAGGGGCCGUGAGAGCGGUCGCCCCAAGAAGGACACUGAGACAAGGGUCCUAGCUCUAUGGAGUGCAGAAGCCACGAAACCUUCACAAUGCGCGAAAGCGUGAUGAGGGAACCCCGAGUGCCACACCUAGGGUGUGGCUGUGGUAGAGUGUAAACAGCUCUACUAGAAAGUGGUGGGCAAGACAGGUGCCAGCAGCCGCGGUAACACCUGCAACACAAGUGAUGACCAUUUUUAUUGGGCUUAAAGCGUCCGUAGCCGGAUGCAUUGGUUCCCGGUGAAAUCGUUGCCCUUAAGGUAACGGCGCGCUGGGAAUACCCUGCAUCUAGGAACCGGGAGAGGUAAGAGGUAUGUCUUGGGUAGGGGUGAAAUCCUGUAAUCCUUGACAGACCACCUGUGGCGAAGGCGUCUUACUGGAACGGGUUCGACGGUGAGGGACGAAAGCUAGGGUCGCAAAGCGGAUUAGAUACCCGUGUAGUCCUAGCUGUAAACGCUGCGGAUUAGGUAUUGCGCGUAUUUCGUGUGCGCGCAGUGUCGAAGCGAUAGCGAUAAAUCCGCCGCCUGGGGAGUACGGUCGCAAGGCUGAAACUUAAAGGAAUUGGCGGGGGAGCACAACAAGGGGUGGAGCCUGCGGUUUAAUUGGAUUCAACACCAGGAAACUCACUAGGGGCGACAGCAGUAUGAAGGCCAGUCUAACGGGCUUGCCGAACGCGCUGAGCGGAGUUGCAUGGCCGUCGUCAGCUCGUGUCUUGAGAUGUCCUGUCAAGUCAGGUAACGAGCGAGACCCACACCACUAAUUGCUAAUUAUUCUCCUCGGAGAGUGAUGCACAUUAGUGGGACUGCAUUCGCUAAGAAUGAGGAAGGUGUGGGCUACGAUAGGUCAGUAUGACCCAAAUCCCCUAGGCUACACGCGUGCUACAAUGGAUAGGACAAAGGGACGCAACUCCGAAAGGAGAAGCAAAACCCAUAAACCUAAUCCCUAGUUCGGAUUGAGGGCUGUAACCCGCCCUCAUGAAGCCGGAAUCCCUAGUAAUCGGAGUUCAUCAAACUCUGGUGAAUACGUCCCUGCUUCUUGCACACACCGCCCGUCAAACCAGCCGAGUCGGGUUUGGGUGAGGCAUCGCCUUUGGUGCUGUCGAACCUAAGCUCGGUGAGGGGGGUUAAGUCGUCACAAGGUAGCGGUACGGGAACGUGCCGCUGGAUCACCUCCAAA
RNAcentral lists this ribosomal RNA (1498 nucleotides) under archaeon CG10_big_fil_rev_8_21_14_0_10_43_11. RNAcentral's name for it is "bacterial SSU rRNA". It matches the Rfam family "Archaeal small subunit ribosomal RNA". The record is from RNAcentral.